UCUCCGUUGGUGAACCAGCGGAGGGAUCAUUACCGACUUUACAACUCCCAAACUCCAAUGUGAACGUAACCAAACUGUUGCCUCGUCGGCGUUUCGGCACCGGGCGCGUCGCAACCACGGACCAAGGCGCCCGCCGGAGGACCAGCCCAAAACUCUUUAGUAUCUCCCCUCGCGGUUUUUUUAUAACUGAGCCUUCUCGGCGCACCUAGUGGGCGUUUCGAUAAUGAAUCAAAACUUUCAACAACGGAUCUCUUGGUUCUG
Molecule: unclassified non-coding RNA, 261 nt
Filed under: plant metagenome
Description: partial contains small subunit ribosomal RNA, internal transcribed spacer 1, and 5.8S ribosomal RNA
Source: RNAcentral